UAAUCCCUCUCUCAGAGAGAAACGAUUCAUUUCUUCAACACCUUUUUUUCUUAUUUUUCCUCUUCCUCCCUCUCUUACAGUGAAGCAGUCGUGGAGAAGUGGGUUAUACACUAAUCAAAACUUCUUCUAAUGUUGUCGAAGCAAAUCGUUGUUUGGUCAAGGAAUUUCAUCGAGCCCUUAAAAUUCACUGGAUGAAAUCAUAUAUGGGAAACAGCUGAACCUGAUGCAGUUGAUUCAGUGGAAAGAAGGGAAAGAAAAAUAUACACAGGACACAAUGCAGUUCAGGCAGCUGAAAGAACGGACAUAAAAACAUGUAACGGUGCUAAUUCCCCGGACAAACAACGCUGAAAAUACUUCGUUUUACAUAUAAACGACUUCCAAAGUAAGCAGUGGAGACCAAAUUUGCACUCCAGAAUGUAUGUUUUCAUGUUCUUCCAAUUGGUGUCUGGUCAUCCUCUUGAUACUAAUCAGCAAUGAAUAAUUACACAGUGAUAGUUGUUAGUAAAAACCUUAUGAGGUUCCUUUUUGAACAAGUUAGGUAAACUGACCGCCCUUAUCGAUGCAGCUGAGGAAUAUCGAUACAAUAUGAGACGCCUAUAUCAAGUAUCAACUAGAAAAUGUCUGAGUUCCGUUGGGGAGGAAACUCCAAGAAAAACCAUAGUUCUUAUGUGCACUUAGUGUAUCGCUUUUUUGCACAAUGCUUAUGGUGAUCGAGAUGGGUACUUGGCUGAUAAAGGCAAUAGUAGUGUCUGCAGCAACAGUGGGGUAAAUUCAAGUUAUUUACCCUUCAACGUUCUACUGUACAUAUACUUGCAAAAAUGUGCAGUUUCUUUUCGGUGGUCUAGAAUCAUGACACCAUAUGCUUUUUUUUUUUUCUGAUUGUCACAAUAAUAUGUUGGCAGAAUGCGCUUAAUUAUGUUUAAUCUGCUUAUCGUUUGGGAAUGAUAUUUUGUGUUCUUUCAAGUUUGUUUUUGGAAUUGUACCAAAAAUGAGGACCUAUAUAUGUCAACUAAAUGUACCACUGUCAUGGGCAGAUUACAAUAGGGUAAAUUAGUAGUA
This is a long non-coding RNA of Papaver somniferum (opium poppy), 1059 nucleotides long. RefSeq lists it as uncharacterized. The record is from RefSeq and is a predicted model, not a curated record. The transcript is spliced from 7 exons. NCBI's taxonomy places the organism in Eukaryota, Viridiplantae, Streptophyta, Magnoliopsida, Ranunculales, Papaveraceae.